RNAcentral lists this ribosomal RNA (720 nucleotides) under Paradapsilia trinotata. RNAcentral's name for it is "partial 12S ribosomal RNA". The record is from RNAcentral. Lineage: Eukaryota; Metazoa; Arthropoda; Insecta; Diptera; Pyrgotidae.
AUGUAAAUUUUUGUAGGAUUGAUGUUUUAUUUAAAUAAUAAAAAUUUUUUUAUUUCAAUUUCAGUAAUUAAUAUUAUUAAUCAAGUAAAUUUGUAAAUAGUAAUUUUGUUAAAUAUUGGCUAAUUUUGUGCCAGCAGUCGCGGUUAUACAAAUAAAUAUAAAUAUAGUUAUAUUAGUUUAGUAAUUUAAUUUAUAUUUAUUAAAAUAUAAAUUAUUAGGUGAAAUUUAAAUUAUUAAUUAAUAAAAUUAGAUAUUUUGAAGCUUGUAAAUUUUAAUUAGAAACUAGGAUUAGAUACCCUAUUAUUUAUAAAUUUAAAUUAAAAUACUUAGGUAGUAAUAGAUAUGUUCUUUAAACUUAAAAAAUUUGGCGGUACUUUAGUCUAUUCAGAGGAACUUGUUUCUUAAUCGAUAUUCCACGUUGAACCUUACUUGAUUUUGUUAUUUAGUUUAUAUACCGUCGUUAUUAGAAUAUUUUAUCAGAAAAUUAAUUUUCAAUAUUUUUUAAUAAAAAUUAUAUCAGAUCAAGGUGUAGCUUAUAAUUAAGUAGAAAUGGGUUACAAUAAAUUUAUUUAAUCGGAUUUAAUAUUGAAAUAUAUUAAUUAAGUUGGAUUUGAUAGUAAAAUUAUAUAGAUUGUUAAUUUGAUUUUAGCUCUAAGGUAUGUACAUAUCGCCCGUCGCUCUUUUUAUUAAGGAAAGAUAAGUCGUAACAUAGUAGAGGUA